GGAAUCUUCGGCAAUGGACGAAAGUCUGACCGAGCAACGCCGCGUGAGUGAAGAAGGUUUUCGAAUCGUAAAACUCUGUUGGUAGAGAAGAACGUUGGUGAGAGUGGAAAGCUCAUCAAGUGACGGUAACUACCCAGAAAGGGACGGCUAACUACGUGCCAG
RNAcentral lists this ribosomal RNA (162 nucleotides) under uncultured bacterium. Its description in RNAcentral is "partial 16S rRNA". It matches the Rfam family "Bacterial small subunit ribosomal RNA", at positions 358 to 511 of the family's 1533-position model. The record is from RNAcentral.